Molecule: ribosomal RNA, 239 nt
Filed under: uncultured bacterium
Lineage: Bacteria
Description: partial 16S ribosomal RNA
Rfam family: Bacterial small subunit ribosomal RNA
Source: RNAcentral
GGGUUCCUACGGGACGCAGCAGUCGGGCAUAUUGCGCAAUGGAGGAAACUCUGACGCAGUGACGCCGCGUAUGGGAAGAAGGUUUUCGGAUUGUAAACCAUUGUCGUUAGGGAAGAAGAAGUGACAGUACCUAAGGAGGAAGCUCCGGCUAACUAUGUGCCAGCAGCCGCGGUAAUACAUAGGGAGCGAGCGUUAUCCGUAUUUAUUGGGUGUAAAGGGUGCGUAGACGGGAAUACAAG